GAUGAACGCUGGCGGCGUGCCUAAUACAUGCAAGUCGAGCGAACGGACGAGAAGCUUGCUUCUCUGAUGUUAGCGGCGGACGGGUGAGUAACACGUGGAUAACCUACCUAUAAGACUGGGAUAACUUCGGGAAACCGGAGCUAAUACCGGAUAAUAUUUUGAACCGCAUGGUUCAAAAGUGAAAGACGGUCUUGCUGUCACUUAUAGAUGGAUCCGCGCUGCAUUAGCUAGUUGGUAAGGUAACGGCUUACCAAGGCAACGAUGCAUAGCCGACCUGAGAGGGUGAUCGGCCACACUGGAACUGAGACACGGUCCAGACUCCUACGGGAGGCAGCAGUAGGGAAUCUUCCGCAAUGGGCGAAAGCCUGACGGAGCAACGCCGCGUGAGUGAUGAAGGUCUUCGGAUCGUAAAACUCUGUUAUUAGGGAAGAACAUAUGUGUAAGUAACUGUGCACAUCUUGACGGUACCUAAUCAGAAAGCCACGGCUAACCACGUG
This 497-nucleotide ribosomal RNA is filed under the name uncultured bacterium. RNAcentral describes it as "partial 16S ribosomal RNA". It matches the Rfam family "Bacterial small subunit ribosomal RNA", at positions 28 to 507 of the family's 1533-position model. The record is from RNAcentral.